UGCGAUGAUGAGAGCGAACUGCACUGAAAAGUGAUGACAGGGCCUUGCUGAGC
Non-coding RNA from Pyrococcus horikoshii OT3, 53 nucleotides. The record is from Rfam. Lineage: Archaea; Methanobacteriati; Methanobacteriota; Thermococci; Thermococcales; Thermococcaceae.